CAGAUAUAACUUAAUGACUAGGUUUGUGAUUCACCUUCCAAAGAUGUUUGUUUACUUCUCCAAGAGCCACUUUUGUUCUAGGCCAAGUUUGGCUCAAACGGGAAAUAGUCACUAAGAUUUUACACGCGAUGUUACAAGCUUCCCCAAUCUCUUUCCAAUUUGAAGCAAUCCAAGGGGAGAAAUAUUUAUGAUUCUAUUUUGUCUCGGGACCUUAUCCUUUGACCAUUACUAUUCAAGAUUUAUAGCACCACCAGUACUGACGCAAGACCUUUCUGAAAGAUUCUACCCAAAGCCCCAUGAAUCAGGAAGUUUUCCAGUCUGGCUGAAGGAACAGGCACUGUCCCCAGCCCUGUGUGGGUUCCAGGCACCGUUUCCUUUAAUGUUUUGGGUGGUUCUUUCCCAGCCUAAGGUGGCUUCCUUACACCCAGGGGCUCGGUAUCGAGGGGACUCUCUGCCGAUCUCCGGGACAUCCACAUGCUAUUCUCUGCUCUCUGGUACUCUAUUCGGCAAACUAGCUAAUUUUGGGUCCUGUGGAUCACAGCUCCAUUUCCCCCACUCAGAGAGUCCAGGAAGUUUUGUCCACCUUCUUCCUCCCAUGGCUGCUUCCUACAACCUGCUUUGUAGAGUUUUUCAGAAACCACCCCAGAAACAGAAGCUCUGAACUUGAAAGUUGGAAGGAAGCUUCAAGGUUAACCUGUCUUGCCCUCUGAGGAGCUUGAAGACAUACUGUGCUACCAGGGGAACCCUUUCCGCGAUAACUUGUGCACUGGACAAGGCCGGACUGAUAGAAGCGUGAAAUCAACAUGACAGCUACCACUUACUGAGUUCUGUGUGCAUUUCCGCCUCUACCUGCUGUACUAAUUCCUUCAACAAGCAUUACGGAACCAAGUCCGUCAUGGGCUAAGUCAAAUGCUGGCACCUGCUUGCUUUAAAACCCUUUAAAAACUGUCUAAAAAUGAUCUGCUACACUUGGAACAAAAUCCACAUUUCUAACCAGGUCCUAACAGUUCUACGUGAUCUGACCCUGCUGCAAACUAAUUUUCUCCCCCCUCCUGCUUUCUACACUUCAGCAACACUAUCCUUUCUGACUCUUGAAUGUAUAAACUCUUUCCUGCCCCAGGACCUUUGCACUUGCUGUCCCCUCCUCCCUGGGAUAAUCUUCUACGGAAUUUUUGUAUACCUGACUCGGUCUCAUUUUUUAAGUCUUCCUCGAGUGUUAAUUACUUAAAGAGACCCUCUCUGAGCAUCCACAGCUGCUCACAGAUUUGACAGAUGCUGUACUAUUAGGAACCAUCAUUAUUUCCAUUUUACAGAUGACAAAACGGAGGUUGAGAAAAGUGAUAGAGCCUCCAAGACCCCACAGCUUGGUGGCAUUGCAGUUGAAUCUGAAGAGAAACCCGAAGCUCAGAGAAGAUAGGAAUUUGCUUGGGAUCUCACAGCAAGGAAGUGGCUGAGCAUGGAUAUAAUUUAUGAUUUGCCUGAUGCUAGAACUUUCCUCUUGUAUACACAAUGGAAUACUAUUCGG
Molecule: long non-coding RNA, 1525 nt
Organism: Rhinolophus ferrumequinum (greater horseshoe bat)
Lineage: Eukaryota; Metazoa; Chordata; Mammalia; Chiroptera; Rhinolophidae
Exons: 3
Source: RefSeq, a predicted model, not a curated record